UCUGUUUCGGCGGUGGCACCUGAAGUUUCGGUUACGGUGGAAAGGUCACUAGAAGAGGGCUGAGGGGACAUUGGUGAAUGCCCUGGACUUGCAAUUAAUCCUGGAAGAGCUGGAAUGAUGGAAUUGUCAGAUUCUGAUAGGUCACUGACACUGAGAUCAUCACAUUUUGGUACUGUCACAUAGAGUUGUUGAUUAUUGGAAUCUUGCUUUUGUUUGAUCUUCUUCUUCAGGUGGGUGUGCCACACAUUCUUAAUCUCGUUGUCUGUCCUUCCUGGUAGUUUCGCUGCAAUUGCCGACCACCUAUUUCCCAGCAUUUCAUGUAACUUGAUAAUGGUUUUCUCUUCUUCCUCGGUGAAGUUUCCUCGCUUAAUGUCUGGCCUCAAAUAGUUUAUCCAUCGGAGUCUGCAACUCUUCCCGCAUCUUAAUAAACCAGCUUCCUUAGGCAGUGCACGCCAAUUGCUAUGGCCAUAUUUUUGAAUAUGGGAAAUCAAAAUCUUAUCUUCUUCAGGUGUCCAAGGCCCUUUCUUUAAUCCCAUCUUCUCACAGCAAGGAGCCCUCACCAUCUCUCUUGGUUCUUUAUCUUGUAAACUCUCGCACUCUUUCUUU
Molecule: unclassified non-coding RNA, 606 nt
Filed under: Hevea brasiliensis (rubber tree)
Lineage: Eukaryota; Viridiplantae; Streptophyta; Magnoliopsida; Malpighiales; Euphorbiaceae
Source: RNAcentral